RNAcentral lists this ribosomal RNA (200 nucleotides) under uncultured bacterium. Its description in RNAcentral is "partial 16S ribosomal RNA". It matches the Rfam family "Bacterial small subunit ribosomal RNA", at positions 524 to 723 of the family's 1533-position model. The record is from RNAcentral.
UACGGAGGGUGCAAGCGUUGUUCGGAAUUAUUGGGCGUAAAGGGCGCGUAGGCGGAUUAACAAGUUAGGUGUGAAAGCCCCGGGCUCAACCUGGGAACUGCACUUAAGACUGUUAAUCUAGAGUAUGGGAGAGGAUAGCGGAAUUUCCAGUGUAGAGGUGAAAUUCGUAGAUAUUGGAAGGAACACCAGUUGCGAAGGCG